GCUGUCCGCCCUCCUUGGGCGUUUCCUCCCUAAGACUUGGGCCGCCGCUUUUGCGACGGCCCCUUUUCUUUUCAGC
This 76-nucleotide small RNA is filed under the name uncultured Pleomorphomonas sp. RNAcentral describes it as "suhB". It matches the Rfam family "Makes More Granules Regulator RNA (mmgR)". Rfam says of the family: SuhB later renamed mmgR (makes more granules regulator) was a putative non-coding RNA found multiple times in the Agrobacterium tumefaciens genome and related alpha-proteobacteria. Lineage: Bacteria; Pseudomonadati; Pseudomonadota; Alphaproteobacteria; Hyphomicrobiales; Pleomorphomonadaceae. The record is from RNAcentral.